GAGAUUUUCGCAAUGCCCGAAAGGGUGACGAAGCGACGCCGCGUGCGGGAAGAAGGCCUUCGGGUUGUAAACCGCUGUCGGGAGUUAAGAAAUGUAAGGAUGUUAAUAGCAUCUUUACUUGACUAAGGCUCCGGAGGAAGCCACGGCUAACUCUGUGCCAGCAGCCGCGGUAAUACAGAGGCGGCAAGCGUUGUUCGGAAUUACUGGGCGUAAAGGGCGCGUAGGCGGAAUGGUCCGUCCGAUGUGAAAGUGCUACCGCUCAACGGAGCAAAGCCAUCGGAAACCGCCAUUCUUGAGUCCGGGAGAGGUGAGUGGAAUUGCCAGUGUAGCGGUGGAAUGUGUAGAUAUUGGCAAGAACACCGGUGGCGAAGGCGGCUCACUGGCCCGGUUCUGACGCUGAGUGCGCGAAAGCGUGGGGAGCGAACAGGAUUAGAUACCCUGGUAGUCCACGCCCUAAACGGUGGGCACUAAGUAGAGGGGUUUUA
Molecule: ribosomal RNA, 485 nt
Filed under: uncultured bacterium
Lineage: Bacteria
Description: bacterial SSU rRNA
Rfam family: Bacterial small subunit ribosomal RNA
Source: RNAcentral